RNAcentral lists this ribosomal RNA (252 nucleotides) under uncultured Oscillospiraceae bacterium. RNAcentral's name for it is "partial 16S ribosomal RNA". It matches the Rfam family "Bacterial small subunit ribosomal RNA", at positions 524 to 776 of the family's 1533-position model. The record is from RNAcentral. Lineage: Bacteria; Bacillati; Bacillota; Clostridia; Eubacteriales; Oscillospiraceae.
UACGUAGGGGGCAAGCGUUAUCCGGAUUUACUGGGUGUAAAGGGAGCGUAGGCGGGAGGAUAAGUUGAAUGUGAAAUCUAUGGGCUCAACCCAUAGCUGCGUUCAAAACUGUUCUUCUUGAGUGAAGUAGAGGCAGGCGGAAUUCCUAGUGUAGCGGUGAAAUGCGUAGAUAUUAGGAGGAACACCAGUGGCGAAGGCGGCUUACUGGACGGAAACUGACGUUGAGGCUCGAAAGCGUGGGGAGCAAACAGG